This is a long non-coding RNA of Macrobrachium nipponense, 644 nucleotides long. RefSeq lists it as uncharacterized. The transcript is spliced from 3 exons. Lineage: Eukaryota; Metazoa; Arthropoda; Malacostraca; Decapoda; Palaemonidae. The record is from RefSeq and is a predicted model, not a curated record.
CAGUUCCCAAAUCAACACCAACAACCAAGAGGCAUCGCUAUUCUCUCGAUGGAAGUCCCCAAGUAUGAUAUUCACGACGGACAACGAACUCUGUCCUGGAGAUCGUCUGACAAUCGAGAGGCUCCCAGAUGGACAUAUUGAGGCACUCUGCGGAAACUUAAGUGGUAGAACAAUCCUCGUGGAUGUCAGCUUACUGAGGACUCUCACAUUCUCCACUACUCCUCAUGACGGAGGUGCUAGCAUAGGAUUCAGAGUGGGAAUCAAAGGUUUCUUGCUGGGCUAAAUAUGAGACGCCAGCUAAAACAUCACAAGACAGUUAAGCCCAUCUACACAGCAACUUGCGCGCGCAUAUCAAGACCUACUUGCAUUUAUGAGCAAGGACGUUACGUACCUACAUCAACUACAUGGAAAAUUCUUUCGCUUUUAUUAAUUCUAUUAAAAUUAGAUUUAUUCUGAUAAAGAAUCUGUGGUAAUUAUCGUUCCUGUUUUUUUUUUUUUUUUUUUUUUUUUUUUUUUUUUUUUUUUUUGGAGGCUACAAAUGCGCAAACAUGUAUCCAUAUCACUGGGAAAUAAAACUUUAAAUAAAAGUUGAAAGUUAGUAUCCAGAAGAUGGCUUUGGAUCUCUUAAAUAAAGUAAAGGAAUA